RNAcentral lists this transfer RNA (60 nucleotides) under Falcolipeurus marginalis. Its description in RNAcentral is "tRNA-His". The record is from RNAcentral. Lineage: Eukaryota; Metazoa; Arthropoda; Insecta; Psocodea; Philopteridae.
UUGUAAUAGUUUAUUUAAAACGUUAGCUUGUGGUGCUUAAAAAGAAUUAUUCUUACUAAA